AAAUUGAAGAGUUUGAUCAUGGCUCAGAUUGAACGCUGGCGGCAGGCCUAACACAUGCAAGUCGAACGGUAACAGGAAGCAGCUUGCUGCUUCGCUGACGAGUGGCGGACGGGUGAGUAAUGUCUGGGAAACUGCCUGAUGGAGGGGGAUAACUACUGGAAACGGUAGCUAAUACCGCAUAAUGUCGCAAGACCAAAGAGGGGGACCUUCGGGCCUCUUGCCAUCGGAUGUGCCCAGAUGGGAUUAGCUUGUUGGUGGGGUAACGGCUCACCAAGGCGACGAUCCCUAGCUGGUCUGAGAGGAUGACCAGCCACACUGGAACUGAGACACGGUCCAGACUC
RNAcentral lists this ribosomal RNA (341 nucleotides) under Escherichia coli. RNAcentral's name for it is "partial 16S ribosomal RNA". It matches the Rfam family "Bacterial small subunit ribosomal RNA", at positions 1 to 338 of the family's 1533-position model. The record is from RNAcentral. RNAcentral also lists the same sequence under 1 other name. Lineage: Bacteria; Pseudomonadati; Pseudomonadota; Gammaproteobacteria; Enterobacterales; Enterobacteriaceae.